GAAAUGCGAUAAGUAAUGUGAAUUGCAGAAUUCAGUGAAUCAUCGAAUCUUUGAACGCACAUUGCGCCCGCCAGUAUUCUGGCGGGCAUGCCUGUUCGAGCGUCAUUUCAACCAUCAAGCCCCGGGCUUGUGUUGGGGACCUGCGGCUGCCGCAGGCCCUGAAAUCCAGUGGCGGUCUCGCCGUCGCACCGAGCGUAGUAGCAUACUUCUCGCUCCGGGCGCGCGGCGGGCACCUGCCGUAAAACCCCCCUAUUUCUCAAGGUUGACCUCGGAUCAGGUAGGAAUACCCGCUGAACUUAA
Molecule: unclassified non-coding RNA, 300 nt
Filed under: uncultured Lasiosphaeriaceae
Lineage: Eukaryota; Fungi; Ascomycota; Sordariomycetes; Sordariales; Lasiosphaeriaceae
Description: sequence contains ITS1
Rfam family: 5.8S ribosomal RNA (bases 1-105)
Source: RNAcentral